GAGUUUGAUCCUGGCUCAGAACGAACGCUGGCGGCAGGCCUAAUACAUGCAAGUCGAGCGCGCCCUUCGGGGUGAGCGGCGGACGGGUGAGUAACGCGUGGGAAUAUGCCCUUCUCUAAGGAAUAGCCUCUGGAAACGGAGAGUAAUACCUUAUACGCCCUUUGGGGGAAAGAUUUAUCGGAGAAGGAUUAGCCCGCGUUAGAUUAGGUAGUUGGUGGGGUAAUGGCCUACCAAGCCUACGAUCUAUAGCUGGUUUGAGAGGAUGAUCAGCCACACUGGGACUGAGACACGGCCCAGACUCCUACGGGAGGCAGCAGUAGGGAAUCUUAGACAAUGGGGGCAACCCUGAUCUAGCCAUGCCGCGUGUGUGAUGAAGGCCCUAGGGUCGUAAAGCACUUUCGCCAGAGAUGAUAAUGACAGUAUCUGGUAAAGAAACCCCGGCUAACUCCGUGCCAGCAGCCGCGGUAAUACGGAGGGGGUUAGCGUUGUUCGGAAUUACUGGGCGUAAAGCGCGCGUAGGCGGUUUGUUAAGUCAGCUGUGAAAGCCCCGGGCUCAACCUGGGAACUGCAGUUGAUACUGGCCGACUAGAGUACGAGAGAGGGAGGUAGAAUUCCAUGUGUAGCGGUGAAAUGCGUAGAUAUAUGGAGGAAUACCAGUGGCGAAGGCGGCCUCCUGGCUCGAUACUGACGCUGAAGUGCGAAAGCGUGGGGAUCAAACAGGAUUAGAUACCCUGGUAGUCCACGCCGUAAACGAUGACAACUAGCUGUGGGGAGACUAUGUCUUUCAGUGGCGCAGCUAACGCUUUAAGUUGUCCGCCUGGGGAGUACGGCCGCAAGGCUAAAACUCAAAUGAAUUGACGGGGACCCGCACAAGCGGUGGAGCAUGUGGUUUAAUUCGAUGCAACGCGAAAAACCUUACCUACUCUUGACAUACUUGGAGGCUCUUGUAAUGAGAGUGUGCCUUUUGGAACCAAGAUACAGGUGCUGCAUGGCUGUCGUCAGCUCGUGUCGUGAGAUGUUCCGUUAAGUCGGAUAACGAGCGCAACCCUUACCCUUAUUUGCCAGCGAUUCGGUCGGGAACUAUAAGGGGACUGCCGGUGAUAAACCGGAGGAAGGUGAGGACGACGUCAAGUCAUCAUGGCCCUUACGAGUAGGGCUACACACGUGCUACAAUGGGAGAUACAGACGGACGCUAAGCCGCGAGGUGGUGCUAAUCCUAAAAAGUCUUUCGUAGUCCGGAUUGGAGUCUGCAACUCGACUCCAUGAAGUCGGAGUCGCUAGUAAUCGCGGAUCAGCAUGCCGCGGUGAAUACGUUCUCGGGUCUUGUACACACCGCCCGUCACACCAUGGAAGUGGAUUGCACCAGAAGUAGAUAGUCUAACCUUAGGGAGGGCGUUUACCACGGUGUGCUUCAUGACUGGGGUGAAGUCGUAACAAGGUAACC
Molecule: ribosomal RNA, 1444 nt
Filed under: uncultured marine bacterium
Lineage: Bacteria
Description: 16S ribosomal RNA
Rfam family: Bacterial small subunit ribosomal RNA
Source: RNAcentral